This 895-nucleotide ribosomal RNA is filed under the name uncultured Russula. RNAcentral describes it as "eukaryotic LSU rRNA". The stretch from base 246 to 895 matches the Rfam family "Eukaryotic large subunit ribosomal RNA", at positions 1 to 632 of the family's 3401-position model. Lineage: Eukaryota; Fungi; Basidiomycota; Agaricomycetes; Russulales; Russulaceae. The record is from RNAcentral.
UUUUUUUUGGACUUGGAGGGAUUAAUGCUCACUGUCAGUUAUUGAAAGGGAGCUCCUCUUAAAUAAAUUAGUGGGGUUUGCUUUGCUGAUCCUUGACGUGAUAAAACAAUUCUACGUUUUGGAUAUAGCAUUGUCCUUUAAAAACACCUGCUUCUAAUUGUCUUAUAGACAAAUGAUGGUGUUCUGGUCACUGCUUCACCUGUGUGUGUUGGUAGUAGAAAGGCUAGACCCACAAAAGAAAGCCUUGACCUCAAAUCGGGUGAGACUACCCGCUGAACUUAAGCAUAUCAAUAAGCGGAGGAAAAGAAACUAACAAGGAUUCCCCUAGUAACUGCGAGUGAAGCGGGAAAAGCUCAAAUUUAAAAUCUGGUGGUCUUUUGGCCAUCCGAGUUGUAAUUUAGAGAAGCGUUUUCCGCGCUGGACCUAUGCAUAAGUCUCCUGGAAUGGAGCGUCACAGAGGGUGAGAAUCCCGUCUUUGGCAUAGACACACCAGGGCUUUUGUGAUGCGCUCUCGAAGAGUCGAGUUGUUUGGGAAUGCAGCUCAAAAUGGGUGGUGAACUCCAUCUAAAGCUAAAUAUUGGCGAGAGACCGAUAGCGAACAAGUACCGUGAGGGAAAGAUGAAAAGCACUUUGGAAAGAGAGUGAAACAGUACGUGAAAUUGUUGAAAGGGAAACGCUUAAAGUCAGUCGCGUUGUCCAAGACUCAGCCUUGCUUUGGCUUGGUGUAUUUCUUGGCCAACGGGUCAGCAUCAAUUUUGCCCCUUGGAUAAUGUUAAGGGAAAUGUGGCACCUUUUAGGUGUGUUAUAGUCUCUUAUCACAUGUAAGGGUAAGGAUUGAGGAACUCAGCAUGCACCUUUGGGUGUCGGGACUUUUGUUCACGAUACAUGCUUAGGA